Long non-coding RNA from Zonotrichia leucophrys gambelii, 825 nucleotides. RefSeq lists it as uncharacterized. The transcript has 3 exons. Lineage: Eukaryota; Metazoa; Chordata; Aves; Passeriformes; Passerellidae. The record is from RefSeq and is a predicted model, not a curated record.
CAGGACCCGCGCCCAGCUCCCGGCCCCGCGCCGCACGGACCGGACCGGACCGAACGCGCUCCCGUUCCCGCUCCGCGCCUUAAAGGAGCCGCGCCCGGCGGGGCGGGGAGCGGCGUUUUUGGGUCCCUUUCACCGAGCGUGGCCAAUAGAAUCCGUAAUUGUUCAAAGGAGGGCAGGCCCAACAGAGAGCUCCGGUGCAGCACAGGGCUGGCAGGGCUCGGCGCCGCCACUCACGGUUAUGGGUAGCUCCUGCAUUAGCAGCGUUUCUGGACAGUGUUUCCUUCUCUGUAGUGUACAUUCAGAGACACACGACUGCUCUCUUCAUUAACUUGCACCCCCUCUCCAGGCUGUCUCAGCCUGAUGGAAGAGUUUGCUCCUGCUGGGAUGCAGCAGAUCCUGGAAGACCUUGGGGAGAAGGUGUCUAUAGAAGCAGUUCGAUAAAUGUCCUGCUCCUUCCCUUCCGCUGGGGCCACAUGAGGCAGAAAUUGGGAAGUCAUCGCCGCAUUUUGUUUAAAGGCCUUUUAGUGCUGCAGGAAAAAACACAAGGUGGCGAAGGAGCAGCCUGCUGCCAACAGCAUCUGAGAUGUUCUGGCUUGUGCCAAGAAGGUGAUUCCAGGGCAAACUCCUUCCCAGUCCAUUGAGACAGACGAUCAUCAGAAGAUUAGAAGACAGAAUAUCUAAGGAGGACAUAAAAUCAUAAGGCACUCACCUUACUGAUCCUGCCCAGGAGGAGUAUUGAUAUUUUGAGCCAUCUGACCAAAUCACUUCUCAUUUCUAAAGAUGCCUUGGUCAGGUUUUAUGCUGUAAGAUGAACAAAGGGGGAGA